Sinocyclocheilus grahami is the source of this 488-nucleotide long non-coding RNA. The record is from Ensembl. Lineage: Eukaryota; Metazoa; Chordata; Actinopteri; Cypriniformes; Cyprinidae.
CUAAAUUUCUCACUCUUUUCAGAUCUAUCUACGCCAUGGCUCCUGUUGGAACACAUGACCCUCCUGUAGCAACAAAAUAUGAGAAAGGACAGAGGAAUGCAGGAGCGAGAGGCCAGUCAGGAGAGGACAGCUGCAUGUGUUUAAGCAUGGAAAAGGCAUGUCAUGUUGAAUAGCCUGGGACCAAAGACAGGCCCUGGGAGAAGAGACAGCAGUCUGCGCUGAAACUGAACCCUGCAUACCACACAUGCUUCAGGGGUACAAUAGCUCUCUUUACAGCAUGCAGUAAAAAUUGCCUGGAAGUGAUGCAGUGGAACAGCAGCUGAACAUUCUUGUUCUUCUCAAACUUGUUGGAUCACUUUGGUCCAAAUACUUUUGUUUGGGGAAGCUUCAUUUUAAAUAUUUAAAUACUAACCCUAAAUUGUUUUUCAUUGAAUCUUCUAUUCAAAAUGAAGUGUGUAACAUAUGGUUCUCACACUUGCUGACCAAAG